Molecule: unclassified non-coding RNA, 526 nt
Filed under: Centruroides sculpturatus (bark scorpion)
Lineage: Eukaryota; Metazoa; Arthropoda; Arachnida; Scorpiones; Buthidae
Description: uncharacterized LOC111629401, transcript variant X1
Source: RNAcentral
CAGCAGGGGUGCAACUUGAAAGUAGGAAAGAGUAACGGAAAAUAGUACAGCCGUCGCUGGCACUGGACGUCAAGAUCAAACCACCUUUAUUGGCUUAAGAUGCUUCCAUAAGUUGCUCCUUUGUAUUUCCAAUUAAUUUACAUACAUUUUUGAUACCUUUUCACUAACCGGGAUAAAAUUACAAACAGGCUGGGACAAGUCGUACAAAAACCUUUGUCAAAUUUUUUUUAAUUUAAAUUUUAAAAAUGUAUUAAUUUUUACAAAUAUAUUUUCGAACAAAAUUUAAACGUCAUUAUACGAAUGGUUAUUAAUUUUCGAAUUAGGAAGGUUCGAGUUCGAAACCGUUUUAAUUUAUUAAAACGAGUGUAAAGAAAUUGAAGAGUCUUUUGGUUUCAAAAUGUACAAGUUUUCUGAAUGGAAUGAUACUGGAAGGAACGAUGACUCUAGCAUUGUUAAUCCUAAGAUGCAACCAUAUAAUAUUUUGUUUUUAUUUGUUAGCAUUGCUCUUGGAGCUCUAGUGCGAUUU